RNAcentral lists this ribosomal RNA (738 nucleotides) under uncultured bacterium. RNAcentral's name for it is "bacterial SSU rRNA". It matches the Rfam family "Bacterial small subunit ribosomal RNA", at positions 788 to 1529 of the family's 1533-position model. The record is from RNAcentral.
UGGUAGUCCACACCGUAAACGAUGAUUACUAGGUGUAGGUCGGCUGAACCGAUCUGUGCCGGAGUUAACACAAUAAGUAAUCCACCUGGGGAGUACGGCCGCAAGGUUGAAACUCAAAGGAAUUGACGGGGGCCCGCACAAGCAGUGGAGUAUGUGGUUUAAUUCGACGCAACGCGAAAAACCUUACCAGGUCUUGACAUCCGACUAACGAAGUAGAGAUACAUUAGGUGCCCUUCGGGGAGAGUCGAGACAGGUGGUGCAUGGUUGUCGUCAGCUCGUGUCGUGAGAUGUUGGGUUAAGUCCCGCAACGAGCGCAACCCUUAUUGUUAGUUGCUACGCAAGAGCACUCUAGCAAGACUGCCGUUGACAAAACGGAGGAAGGUGGGGAUGACGUCAAAUCAUCAUGCCCUUUAUGACCUGGGCUACACACGUACUACAAUGGCGGCGAACAGAGGGGAGCAAAGAGGUGACUCAGAGCAAAUCCCAAAAAGCCGUCUCAGUUCAGAUUGCAGGCUGCAACUCGCCUGCAUGAAGACGGAAUUGCUAGUAAUCGCGAAUCAGCAUGUCGCGGUGAAUACGUUCCCGGGCCUUGUACACACCGCCCGUCAAACCAUGAGAGUUGGGAAUACCCGAAGUCUGUAAUCUAACCGCAAGGAGGAUGCAGCCGAAGGUAGGCUCAAUGAUUGGGGUUAAGUCGUAACAAGGUAGCCGUAUCGGAAGGUGCGGCUGGAUCACCUC